UACGAAGGGGGCUAGCGUUGCUCGGAAUCACUGGGCGUAAAGCGCACGUAGGCGGCUUUCUAAGUCAGAGGUGAAAUCCUGGAGCUCAACUCCAGAACUGCCUUUGAUACUGGAAAGCUUGAGUCCGGGAGAGGUGAGUGGAACUGCGAGUGUAGAGGUGAAAUUCGUAGAUAUUCGCAAGAACACCAGUGGCGAAGGCGGCUUACUGGUCCGGUUCUGACGCUGAGGCGCGAAAGCGUGGGGAGCAAACAGG
Molecule: ribosomal RNA, 253 nt
Filed under: uncultured bacterium
Lineage: Bacteria
Description: partial 16S ribosomal RNA
Rfam family: Bacterial small subunit ribosomal RNA
Source: RNAcentral